UCCGGUUUGGCACCGGCAGUCUUCCUAGAGUCCCCGCCAUUACGCGCUGGCAACUAAGAACAGGGGUUGCGCUCGUUGCGGGACUUAACCCAACAUCUCACGACACGAGCUGACGACAUCCAUGCAGCACCUGUCUCCAGGUUCCCGAAGGCACCCCCACAUCUCUGCAGGGUUCCUGGGAUGUCAAGACCAGGUAAGGUUCUUCGCGUUGCAUCGAAUUAAACCACAUGCUCCGCUGCUUGUGCGGGGCCCCGUCAAUUCCUUUGAGUUUUAGCCUUGCGGCCGUACUCCCCAGGCGGGGUGCUUAAUGCGUUAGCUACGGCACGGAGGGAGUCGACACCCCCCACACCUAGCACCCAUCGUUUACAGCGUGGACUAC
This 379-nucleotide unclassified non-coding RNA is filed under the name uncultured bacterium. Its description in RNAcentral is "contains 16S-23S intergenic spacer region". The record is from RNAcentral.